ACGCUGGUAGUUUAGUGGUAGAAUUCUUGCCUCCUGGGUGGGAAACCUGGGUUUGAUUCCUAGCCAACGCG
This 71-nucleotide transfer RNA is filed under the name Loxodonta africana (African savanna elephant). It matches the Rfam family "tRNA". Rfam says of the family: Transfer RNA (tRNA) molecules are approximately 80 nucleotides in length. The record is from Rfam by way of RNAcentral. Lineage: Eukaryota; Metazoa; Chordata; Mammalia; Proboscidea; Elephantidae.